Long non-coding RNA from Physella acuta, 1497 nucleotides. RefSeq lists it as uncharacterized. The record is from RefSeq and is a predicted model, not a curated record. NCBI's taxonomy places the organism in Eukaryota, Metazoa, Mollusca, Gastropoda, Physidae.
UAAGACUCUAAGCUAAGAUUGUCAUCUUGUUACAAUAACUCCACCUAUUUUGAUUGCUCAAGUUCGUUAGGCUCAUUCAAUAAUAAUAAUAAUGGUCUGAUUGAUAAUAAAUGCGUGCAGCUAUGUGGCCGAACGGAUCCAGCGAUGGUGUUCUGGAAAGAAAGCAGAGCAGGAACCAGUGAGGCCUAUUAGUGAGCGCACCUGUGCCAUGAGAGGAGGAGGGGGUCAGCGGCAGCAACGCUGCCACACUGAAACUAAACAACCAUCACCUUACCAUGAUGUCAACAAUGGACAUGUAACAUGUGAUGAUGAUUUAGACAAGAAAAACUGAUAAUAUCUUCUCUUGGAGAUUUGGAAAAUUAUCUUCAAGAGAUUAAAUUUCUUAUUUUGUUCUAUUUAUUAAUUUAUCCCAAAAAAUUUUUUUGACAACUAAACGAUUAAAAUAAACUUAAGUAAAUUUGUAAUGAGACAAAAGUGCAAACUAAGACACAUUUACAUGAACUUUAAAGUAGGGAAAUUAUUUUAUUAACUUUCAAAUUUAGAAAAUUGUUCUUUUAACUUUUAAACUAAGAAAAUGUGUACAUGAACUUCUUUUAAAGUGUUUAGUGAGGUGAAGAAGAGAUACUUCAGAUAAUUCUCAACAGUUUUAAACUGUAUGAAGACCAAGCCUUAAAUGUUGUCACUUGAGAACUUUGGCUUGGACUGACAGCUUUUGGCUAGUUUUACCUUGAGAAUUAUGUGAUUUUUAACUUCUAAAAAUAAAAUAAAAUAUAGGUAUAAAGCAGGUAAAGUAACAUUUGUUGUUAGAUAUAGUUGUGUCAAAUAUUUCAGUGUUAAAUGUACUUGCACAGAUAAUUUUUUAGUAGGACAACAAUCGUUUUGUCUCUGAAAAAAUUGCUAAUGCAUUUUUAAAAUUCUGUGAUCUUUCCCAUUGCUAAGCAAUUCCAUAUUUGUUGAAGCUUUUUCUAAGCUAAGCUUUUAAAUAUUGCUAAAAUUGUUAUGUGCUACUAUAUAAAUAAUUUUUUGACAUAUUGCUUUUUUUAAAAUAAUGAAUAGUGACUUCUCCUUUACUGAAAUUUUGUUGAUAGAGAUAUUUGUAUUUAUUUUUUAAAUAUAUAAUUAGACUUACAUUACUGCAAUAGACAGUUGUUAUCUACAUGCAGCACUGUGUUGUUAUUUUUUUGUAAGACUGAAGAUAUUAAACUAUUUUUACAUAUACUGGAAUUUCAUUAAAAAAAUUAAAAAAUAGGAAAACGACCUACAUAGUAAAUACAAUAAUUUUAGUCACACCAUCCCAAAGGAAAUACAACGAUUAAAAUGUGUCAAUGUACUAUAUUAUUUAGUGAUAAGCUUUUAUUUUACGGCAAUAUUUAAUUUUACUAAACCAUCAAAAUAAUAUUUAAAAUACAUACGUGGCGAAACUUGUAUUUAUUUUGCUUAUCAACUUGUAAUUGUAAUUAUUACCAAACAAUAAAUAGUUGUUUUUUUCUACUUUUG